This 468-nucleotide ribosomal RNA is filed under the name uncultured bacterium. Its description in RNAcentral is "partial 16S ribosomal RNA". It matches the Rfam family "Bacterial small subunit ribosomal RNA", at positions 28 to 507 of the family's 1533-position model. The record is from RNAcentral.
GACGAACGCUGGCGGCGUGCUUAACACAUGCAAGUCGAACGGAAAGGCCCUGCUUUUGUGGGGUGCUCGAGUGGCGAACGGGUGAGUAACACGUGAGUAACCUGCCCUUGACUUUGGGAUAACUUCAGGAAACUGGGGCUAAUACCGGAUAGGAGCUCCUGCUGCAUGGUGGGGGUUGGAAAGUUUCGGCGGUUGGGGAUGGACUCGCGGCUUAUCAGCUUGUUGGUGGGGUAGUGGCUUACCAAGGCUUUGACGGGUAGCCGGCCUGAGAGGGUGACCGGCCACAUUGGGACUGAGAUACGGCCCAGACUCUUACGGGAGGCAACAGUGGGGAAUAUUGCAGAAUGGGCGGAAGCCUGAUGCAGCAACGCCGCGUGCGGGAUGACGGCCUUCGGGUUGUAAACCGCUUUCGCCUGUGACGAAGCGUGAGUGACGGUAAUGGGUAAAGAAGCACCGGCUAACUACGUG